RNAcentral lists this ribosomal RNA (459 nucleotides) under uncultured bacterium. RNAcentral describes it as "partial 16S ribosomal RNA". It matches the Rfam family "Bacterial small subunit ribosomal RNA", at positions 29 to 507 of the family's 1533-position model. The record is from RNAcentral.
AGCGAACGCUGGCGGCAGGCCUAACACAUGCAAGUCGAACGAACCUUUCGGGGUUAGUGGCGGACGGGGGAGGAACACGUGGGAACGUGCCUUUAGGCUCGGAAUAACUCAGUGAAACGUGGGCUAAUACCGAAUGGGCUCUUCUGGGGAAAGAUUUAUCGUCUUUAGAGCGGCCCGCGUCUGGUUUGCUAAGUGGGUCGGGUAAUGGCUCACCAAGGCGACGAUACGGAGCUGGUCUGAGAGGAUGAUCAGCCACAUUGGAACUGAGACACGGUCCAGACUCCGACGGGAGGCAGCAGUGGGGAAUAUUGGACAAUGGGCGCAAGCCUGAUCCAGCCAUACCGCGUGAGUGAUGAAGGCCUUCGGGUUGUAAAGCCCUUUUGUUGGGAAAGAAAAGCAGCAGUUUAAUACCCCGCUGUUCUGACGGUACCCAAAGAAUAAGCACCGGCUAACUUCGUG